RNAcentral lists this long non-coding RNA (251 nucleotides) under Setaria italica (foxtail millet). RNAcentral's name for it is "long non-coding RNA (SITA_LNC002452)". The record is from RNAcentral. Lineage: Eukaryota; Viridiplantae; Streptophyta; Magnoliopsida; Poales; Poaceae.
CUGGGACCGCCACUGUUUUACUGUGACAUAGGAGUAAAGCAGGUUGGGCUUCCAAGGAAAGAAGUACUCCUGAAGGUUACAACAGGGAGGAACAUGCUUGGCAAUUUGAGCCCCCCUUCCCGCAAGGGAUGAGUGCAAGCAGUAAUAGAUGCAUAUGUAGAUGCUUUUGAAGCUCCUGAUGUUGCCCGUCCACCGAAGAAAAAGAGGUCCCCAGAGGAAAAGAAAGCAAUCGAGAAAAGAAAUUACUGCAG